RNAcentral lists this long non-coding RNA (1259 nucleotides) under Bos mutus (wild yak). RNAcentral describes it as "lncRNA (ENSBMUG00000006888.1)". Lineage: Eukaryota; Metazoa; Chordata; Mammalia; Artiodactyla; Bovidae. The record is from RNAcentral.
GCCAGGCUCUGGCCCUUGGGCCAGGCUAUUAGCUCUGCCCCUUCAGGUAUGUGCCAGGGCAGAGAUGAGUUCUGCCAGGGCCAUCUGUUCUGAGGGCACAGGGACGCAUGGCCUCAGGACUUCUAGGGUGAAGCAAAGCAGGCAGCUGCUGCUGCUGCUGCUGCUAAGUCGCUUCAGUCGUGUCCGACUCUGCGACCCCAUAGACCGCAGCCCACCAGUCUCCUCUGUCCCUGGGAUUCUCCAGGCAAGAAUACUGGAGUGGGUUCCCAUUUCCUUCUCCAAAAGAAGGCAGGGGUCAUAUGAAUUAAGGAUUUAGGACCUGAUGCUGCCUCUAUGUGAUCUUGGGCAAGUCACCUCUUUGCUAGGCCUCUGAUUCUCCACCUGUACUAUAAAAGAUUUGGAUUAAAUGAUCCUAAAAUUAUUACUUUGCCAACAAAGGUCCGUCUAGUCAAGGCUAUGGUUUUUCCAGUGGUCAUGUAUGGAUGUGAGAGUUGGACUGUGAAGAAAGCUGAGUGCUGAAGAAUUGAUGCUUUUGAACUGUGGUGUUGGAGAAGACUCUUGAGAGUCCCAUGGACUGCAAGGAGAUCCAACCAGUCCAUCCUAAAGGAGAUCAAUCCUGGGUAUUCAUUGGAAGGACUGAUGCUGAAGCUGAAACUCCAAUAUUUUGGCCACCUCAUGUGAAGAGUUGACUCAUUGGAAAAGACUCUGAUGCUGGGAGGGAUUGGGGGCAGAAGGAGAAGGGGACAACAGAGGAUGAGAUGGCUGGAUGGCAUCACUGACUCAAUGGACAUGGGUUUGAGUGUACUCUGGGAGUUGGUGAUGGACAGGGAGGCCUGGCGUGCUGUGAUUCAUGGGGUCACAAAGAGUCGGGCAUGACAGAGUGACUGAACUGAACUGAACUGAACUGAAUGAUUAAUUAAUGAUCCUGAGACCCAUGCAGCUGGGAUUUAGUACGUGGUUAGUGGGAGGAAGCAGAGAGGAGGAGCAUCAUCUAAGAACCUGGGCAAACCAUGUAUACAGGCCGGCAGAAUCAGGAGGAGGGUGUCUGAGCUCCUUCCCACUGCCUUCAGCAGGGACUUGCCAAAAGCACCAGGGAAAGAAGAGUCUCUCCCAAGAAGUGCGUCUUUGGCAACCUUCUACCCAGGCCCCUCAGAGGGUCAUAACUUCCCCGUCAGAGUUCCCGCCUCUCUGGAAGCUGUGAGGCUCCAUUUGGAACCCAGAGUCUACAGGGUAAGGUUGUGGGCUUUGAGGUGUUAGGC